GUGCUCACUUUGGCAGCACAUACGCUAAGACUGGAACAAAACAGAGAUUAGCAUGGCCCCUGCAGAAGGGCAAGAUGCAAAUCCGUGAAGUAUUCCACGUUUUU
Small nuclear RNA from Lutra lutra (Eurasian river otter), 104 nucleotides. The record is from RefSeq and is a predicted model, not a curated record. Lineage: Eukaryota; Metazoa; Chordata; Mammalia; Carnivora; Mustelidae.